This is a non-coding RNA of Poeciliopsis prolifica (blackstripe livebearer), 445 nucleotides long. NCBI's taxonomy places the organism in Eukaryota, Metazoa, Chordata, Actinopteri, Cyprinodontiformes, Poeciliidae. The record is from the annotation of a RefSeq genome assembly.
GCGAUGUUUCUCACAUAAUGCUCUCAAUCUGAAGCAGCUAAAAUCCCUGCAUGAAGUCUUCAUGGAUGAAGAAAGACUUACACAUGACUUCUGUUUGUUGGUCUCUCAGUUUUCCUCAGGUAUGACAGAUGGCAGUGUCGUCAAUCAGACUUCUCUGCUGUGGGUCAACCAGAGUCAGUCCACCACCAUGACCUGCAGUCACAAUAAAGACGCUUCUUACUUCCAGAUGUACUGGUACCAGCAGCUGCCGGGUCAGAACAUGAAGCUAAUAGUUUUCACAACAACUUCUCCUCCGUUCCAGUAUGAAGAAGGCUUCAGUAAGGAGAAGUUUGUAGCGGACAGGAAGGACGCGAUGAGCGGAUCUCUGAUGGUGAAGCAGCUGCAGCCUGACGACAGCGGAGUGUAUUUCUGUUCUGUCAGUCAACACAGUGAUGAGGCCGAGUGA